Molecule: non-coding RNA, 3984 nt
Organism: Cinara cedri
Lineage: Eukaryota; Metazoa; Arthropoda; Insecta; Hemiptera; Aphididae
Source: the annotation of a GenBank genome assembly
CUGUCUUGUGGUUUUCUGGCUAUUUCUUUUUUUGGUAACUAUGUAAUUUAUAUAUAUUAUAUUCAUAAAUAUAAUAUACAGUGUAUUAUGUAUAUUAUUGUGGAUAAUAAUAAUUAUUAGGUACAUAAAAUUAACGAAAAUCUUGGAAUGAGAAUUAUUAAUUUUAUUUUUAGAGACGCCUAGAAGCUAUUAAAGCUUCAUCUGUGUAAUAGCAGAAAGAAAAGAAUGCGGUCAAAAAUUGACCAAAGUCAGUAAAAAAGCAACCAAUGUGAUUUUUGAUAUUUUACAUGACGGACAAUUUGAUAAAAAAGUAAAUAUAUAAUAAUUAAUAAAUAUUAACUGCUCAAAAAUUUACUUUAAACAUAUUACUUAUGCAAUUUCUCAAUAAUAUAUUUAAAAGUAUGUAUGUAUAAUUGAUUGAUUAUUUAUAAAAUAAUAUGUUUCUUAACAUUUUUAAAAUAUUACAUUAUUACAUAAUAUCUAUUUAUAUAUAUUGGUAAUUCAUUAGGUGCAAUGUAUAAUAGUAGUGAUGUUUCAAAUAGGAUGGUUUCUGUAAGGAUGGAUUUAAAGAUCAUCCUGCUGUAAUUGAACAACUCGAUUUAGUCGAAAAAGGAUUAACAAUUUACUCAUUUAUAAACUUUAGAUUUUGCUUAAAACUUACAAGAUAUUUUAAGUAAUAAUUACUAAUUGUUUUUUUACUGUUUUUAUUUAUUCAUGGACCAUACAGUUGAUUAAUUACAAAUGCAGAACUUGAUUUCUAGAUGUUUAUAAAUUUGAUCCCGAUUUUGAAGCAAAUGAAGAACAUUACAAAUCACUGCGAACAGAAAUAUUAAGGUCAGACAAUGAAGACGAAUCAGAUAAUGAUGAUGAUAAAGGAUAAGGUAAAGAAAUUUAAUUUAAAAUUAUAUUUGUUAGAUAAAUUAUUUUAAUCUUUUUUGUUUAUAUAGAAAGACAUAUUUUUUACUAUAUAUAAGAAAUACUAAAAUAUAAUUUUAGUAUUUCUUUUUUAGAAGAAAGAGAAGCGGUUACAAACAUCAGUGCAUUACGAAAAUUCAUGUAUCUAACAAUACAUUCUUCCCUUGAUUAUGAAAUCUUUAAUGGUCUUCAACAUGAUAUUUCUCUUUACUGGUAAUGAUAUUUUACCAUAGGAUACCAUAAUCUUAAAAUAUAUAUGUAUAUUAAUUUUUAAUUUGUUUGAUAUUAUACAAUCUGGAAUAACAAUAAGCAUUCUCUUCUGGGAUGUUAUCUUUGUCACUACUUCUGAGGCUGUUUAAAUUUUUAAAAGUGCAGGUUAUGAUUUUAAACAGAAUGAUACACAUUAGCAAUUACAUGUAACAAUAUGAAUUGGUCAUUUUAUAUUUUAUUUGUGUGUGCCAAGUUAAAAAAAAUGUUAAAUAUAUUUAAUUUUAAAAUUGUAUUAAUACAUAUUUGAAAUUCUAAACUAAUUUGAUAACAUCAAUUGUAAUAUUUGAGUUUUAAAAUACAAUUUAUGCUAUUUUCGUAUUAUCAUGUAUCAUUACAAAAGAAAAAUAAUGUUGAAGACCUCUAAAAUAUAAAUGUUUAAAUAUUUAUUUUUAUAUUUUUUUCCCCCAGGAAGACCUUUUCCUUUGACUGAACUGAGCAUUCUCUCUCAAACCUUAAGCUUUACCCAUGUUAUCUACAUGCCGCUACACCAACACCAGCGUCUGAGCUCUUCAAAAUUUCAUCUUGCUCAAUCACCUCAAAGUUAUAGCGCCUCCCAUUCCAACGCAUUGGCCAUCCCAUAGCAUCCGUCACCCUGACAACCUUGAAUUUUUUGUUACAAAUCUCCCUAAUCAAUUUUCUACUGAAAUUAUACAUUUAUAUGAUCCAGUUUCUUAUCAUACACCUGUCUUGCUUCUCAUCAGAGCCCAACCCUCUUUGAAGCAAAAUAGACCUACCAUUACUUCGGGUAUCACAAACUGGAACAAAUUCAAAGUUACUAUCUCAAACAAAAUAAUUCUUAAUACCAAAUUUAAAUCAUCUACUGAUGUCGAUCAAGCAAUUUUCAAACUUUCUGAUGACAUUCAAAAAUCAGCCAAGGACUCAUCUACCCAGAGUCCUUCCUAUUCUCAAUCACUCAAUCUUUCUCCAGAAUUAGGACAACUUAUUGCUGAAAAACGCAGAACCAGUUCAAAAUGGUAACAAACACACUACUCGAUGGACAAGAUUAACUACAAUUAUCUUUCUAACAAACUAAAGUCUCUUUUCAAAACUCACAAAACCAAUCUGUACAAAAAUCACAUUAAAAAUCUCUUUUAAAAAUGGAUCUCUCUGGCGCAAAACAAAAUCAAUUUUACAGUUUAAGGACACCACUCUUCCUCUAGAUAACUCACUUGUACCACAGACAGCGAAAAAGCUGAUACUCUCACUGAAGAACUACCAGGAGUAUUCAAACCUCACCACAUUUUCAUAACAGUACUUCAUAUGUUGUCAGUCAUGAAGUCUCUCCAUUCAACUUUAUCUAUGGCCCUUCCUGCAAAACCAACCUCCUCAAUUGAGAUAGCGUUUAUUAUAAAAAAAAUUGGCAAACAACAAAUCCCCAGGUCACAACUUUAUCUCCAACAGAGUUGUUAAAAAUCUCUCUGCAAAAGAAAUUUAACUCAUAUUUCUAGGGCUGCCCUUCCUUUAUCGUACUUUUCAACUACCUGGAAAUCUUGAGUUAUUGUCACAAUUCUCAAACCUGGUAAGCUUCCAGAAAACCUCUCCUCUUACAGUCUCAUUAGCCUACUACCGGUUUUGGGAAAAACUCGAAAAAAAUCAUUCUCAAGCGUAUCACCACUAUAGUAUAAGCAAGAAACAGUAUCCUAAACUUCCAGUUUAGCUUCCACUCACACCAUGCCACAAUUCAUCAACUUCACCAUGUUGCAGACAUCAACUCAUCAGCACUCAAAACCAACAAAUUGCUGCACCGGAGUUUUUUUGGAUGUUGCAAUAGCCUUUGAGACCAUCUGGCAUAAAGAUCUUCUCUUCGAACUUAAAAAUAUUUGUCCAGCUCCUUUAUACCUAAUACUUAAAUCCUAUCAUGAAAACCUCUCAUUUAAUGUUUGUCACAAUUUAUAACACAAAAUCAAUAUCCUAUCUGCUGGUGUCCCUCAAUAAAGUGACAUCUCUCCAUUCCUAUAUACCAUGUAUAAGUCGAACCUGCCUACCUUUGAAAAUACCAUAGUCUGAACAUACACUGAUGAUACCUCUUUAUUAUCAGCUUCUUCCAACCAUACCAUUAAGUCUCAACAACUACAAAAUUACCUAAAAUCUCUUUCAUAAUGGUUCACCAACUGGAAAUUAAAAUCAAUGAAUCAAAGUUUUCCUUUGUCACCUUCUCGCUCAAACCUCAAAACUACCCAGCCGUAUCUAACAACAACAUUAUCAUUUCUCAUUCGAAUGAAGUUAAAUAUCUUGAUCUUACUUUUGACAGGCGCUUAAUCUGAUCUCUUCAUCUUAAAGACCUUCGUAAGAAACUUAACUCCUGUUAAAGCCUCUUCUUCGUUCCAAUCUAACCAUACCAAUCAAAAUCAUUUUAUACAAAACUUCUUCAACCAAUAUGGACAUAUAGUAUAGUAAUCUGGGGCUCUGCAAAGAACUCAAAUAAAAGAACCAUACAAGCACUCAAAAACAUUUGUCUGCGGUUAAUCACAGGUGCACCAUGGUUGGUCUCAAAGGAGACCCUAAAUUCCGACCUUAAAUUACCUUCCAUAAAUGAAACUGCUGCUACCUACUAUAAAUGCUUUCACGCCAAACUACUAGAUAUUCCAAACCAACUUCACUAACACUUCCUGGAAAUCCUAACAGAAAACUCAAAAGAAACUGGUGCUAAGACCUGAAAACUUAAGAAUUAAUAACUUAGAAAUAUUACGAAGUAUUACAAAUGUGUGAUUUUCUUUUUAUGUUUAUAUAAAUGUCAACUGUCUGUAUAUUAUUAAUAUUACUUAUUGUACAUUUUGUAUAAUAAUUUUUUAAAUAAAG